GACGAACGCUGGCGGCGUGCUUAACACAUGCAAGUCGAACGGAAAGGCCCUGCUUUUGUGGGGUGCUCGAGUGGCGAACGGGUGAGUAACAAGUGAGUAACCUGCCCUUGACUUUGGGCUAACUUCAGGAAACUGGGGCUAAUACCGGAUAGGAGCUCCUCCUGCAUGGUGGGGGUUGGAAAGUUUCGGCGGUUGGGGUUGUACUCGCGGUUUAUCAGCUUGUUGGUGGGGUAGUGGCUUACCAAGGCUUUGACGAGUAGCCGGACUGAGAGGGUGACCGGCUACAGUGGGACUGGGACAGGGACAAGACUCAUACUGGAGCGAGAAGUAGGAGUGGGUAAACAAGGGGAGGAAGCCUGAUGCAGCAGCGGCGCGUGCGGGAGAACUAGCUGGGGGUUGUAAUGCGAUUUCGCCUGGGACGAAGCGAGAAUGACGGUAAUGUGUGAAGAAGCACCGGCUAACUACGUG
This 468-nucleotide ribosomal RNA is filed under the name uncultured bacterium. Its description in RNAcentral is "partial 16S ribosomal RNA". It matches the Rfam family "Bacterial small subunit ribosomal RNA", at positions 28 to 507 of the family's 1533-position model. The record is from RNAcentral.